GACAGAGGCCUCAAGCGUUAGGCGGAAUCACUGGGCUUAAAGCGUGUGUAGGCGGUUCGUUAAGUGUCUUGUGAAAUCCCACGGCUCACCCGUGGAACGGCUGGGCAUACUGGCGAUCUUGGGCCAACUAGGGGCAACUGGAACAAGCGGUGGAGCGGUGAAAUGCGUAGAUAUGACAUAGAACACCAAUUGCGAAGGCAGCUUGCUACACGGUUAUUGACACUGAGGCACGAAAGCGUGGGGAUCAAACAGG
This 253-nucleotide ribosomal RNA is filed under the name uncultured bacterium. RNAcentral's name for it is "partial 16S ribosomal RNA". It matches the Rfam family "Bacterial small subunit ribosomal RNA", at positions 524 to 776 of the family's 1533-position model. The record is from RNAcentral.